AGCAUAGACGGAUUUUCUGGGGGGUGCAGGGGGGUGCUACCCCCCAAUAUUAGCUAUAACCCCCCCAAACAAAAUGUCCACCCCUCCAAAAAAAUUUUCAACCCCCCCCCCAAUAUUCGGCAUAAUAAAUAAAUAAAUAGUCCACUCCAACGUGCAGAGUGUUGAUGAUACAAAAUAAACGUAGGAGUACACUCGAACAGAAAAAGACAGUGCAACACUCUGAAACUAAUCGCUCCUCGCUUGCAUUCACUGGUUUAUUGGAGCAAUUGUAACGUUUUGAAACUCUAUUAUCUUCCCUGAAUAGAGUUUGCAGUGCCUUGUCAUGCGAAUAGCUUGCACGCAAGGAACAUUUGGAAUUUUUACGAACACUAUUUUUAGUUUUUAAUUCUUUUAGGAAAUAGACUUGCCUAGAUUUAAUCUUUGCGCCCCAAAUAUUAUUUACAUCGGAGUUGCAUCAUAAAUUGUACUUGGAUUCAAACAACACAAUGUCAAUGACUUUAUAAAAGUAAAAGCAUAUUGUGUAUUGGCCUAUUGGGUUUACACUUUUACAGGUUCAUUUCACUUUAAGUCUUUAACUCUCUCAAGUCUCAACAGACAAUCGGACAUGCCAAAUCCAUUGAUAUGACAAAUUGACCACUUCAAAAAACUUUUUUCGAAGCUAGAAAUCAUGAUUUUUUUCAAAUUUUUGCUGGGAUACUUUGUUUUCCGCUCUCUAGACUCCCCCUCGCGGCUCUAGUGCUCCACCCCUAGAAUAUAGACCUUACUGGGGUUUGGUGACACUUUGUCUUGCUUCAGUCACCUGCUCACGGCUCACCCCCCUAAAAUUUCUGGCACCACCCCAGUAAUAAAUAUGAAAAUCCGUCUAUGCGCAU
This is a non-coding RNA of Paramuricea clavata, 872 nucleotides long. Lineage: Eukaryota; Metazoa; Cnidaria; Anthozoa; Malacalcyonacea; Plexauridae. The record is from the annotation of a GenBank genome assembly.